GGUUCCGGUGCAAAAAGUUGACAUGCAUGUGUCUGGACACAUGGACACAACGAAUUACAAAUAUUGAAGUCUUAUCUUUCACCUAAGGCAACAACCAUUUUCUUAUCGGGGGGGGGGGGGGGCUGGGAUUUUUAUUAUGUUCAUAAAUAUUUUUUUCGGAACCUAAGCUUCCUCCGAUAAUUUUUUUUCCUAUAAUGUGGAACAGAAAUACAUUCUAUUUUUCUCAAAACCAUAAAAUUUACAUAUUAAUUCAUUUUAAUUUUUUAAUUGAUGUAAAAUGUAAACUGCAUGGCUCUGUCUAUAUCCUGGCAUUGGCUGUUGUCUCUGUUGUUUUUUUUAGCCCACUUUCUACAUUAUGAUAUUCUCUGAGUCCGUCAUACAGGUACCACAGUCCUUGAAUUUUAAUACUGCAAUUGAAGUGGCCACCAUUGCCAUAUGUAAGAGUGAGUAGCUCCAAAUUAUAAACAUCCACUGUUUCCAACUAUGAUAAUUGAUAUUCCAUUGAAAAAAGAGGUAUAAAAAAUGAUACAGAAUGAUACAAAGGAAAAUACACAAUCAGGGCUACUUUAAAAGACUGCUUUAAUAUGAUACCAUAUCUAUCCCUGUUAUAAAAUGACCAUAUCAGGGGCGGAUCCAGCCAUUUUAAAAAGGGGGGUUCCCAACCCAGAGUAAUGGGGGGGGGGGUUCCAGCUAUAUGCUCCCAUUCAAAUGCAUUGAUCGGCCAAAAAAAAGGGGGGGUUCCAACCCUGGAACCCCCCCUCUGGAUCCGCGCCUGCAUAUCAUGUUUAUAAUAGUUGCAGUUUUAAGUAUGUCUUAAUCUAGUAGCAUACAUGUACAUGCGGGAGAUUUGGAAUGCUUUUAAAUAUUUCUGGAUCAAACACUUACAGGAAAAUACAAAAAGUAAUAAGGUAUAAAUAUAAAUCUUAGCUUAAUCUGUAGACUGGACAGAUGUUUAUAAUCUGCUGUUUCACUGUCUCAACUGUUGUUAUUUUCACUAUUCUCAAAUUCAGCAGUGCAAAAUUUUUUUUCAAGCAGGUGACAGCAUAAUUUUUUUUUCAGCUACAUUGCAAAACAUAAAUUUUUUUUUCAGCUACAGUUUAAAACAUAAUUUUUUUUUCGUUCAUCUAGGCCAUUAAAAUAUUUUUUUUCAAAAAAAUCCCAGGCCCCCCAGAUAAUAAAAUGGUUGUUGCCUAAAUACAAACAAAUAGUAAAAAAAUUAAGAAAGAAAACAUUCCAGGAUAGUCCAAAUGUAACAAAUAUAGACCCCCCUUAUUUUUACUGAAAAAUCAAGUGUAGAAAAUACAUUUGUCUGUCUGUAAGUAUAUCCUCAGAACAAGAAAAUCUUCAUCAAACAUAGCUGUGAGAACAGAGCUAGGGAGAUACCCACUAGAGAUGCAUAUAAAAACUCAAAGUAUACUUUACUUUAUAUCAAGAUUACCAAAUUCUGAAAUUAAUCCAUUAUUAUAUGAAUCCUUUUUACUUUCUAUAAGUUUAGAUAAUUCAGGUUGCUAUACCUGGUUUACAUAUGUUAAAAAUAUUUUGAAAGAGGUAAACAUGGACAUAUCCAUUCUUGAGGGAAACAAAAGAAAAAAAUACUGAAAUUUAAAAAAAAAAACAACCUUAAAACAUCAAUUAUUAAAUUUCUACACAAAUAUAUUUUAACAAAAAUUUGAAAAAAUAGAUAAAAAAAGUAAAUUGUAUUUAUAUAAAAGUUUAAAGCAAAAUUUUAAAAUGGAAAACUACUUAAACUGUAAAUCUUUUGAAAAGAGAAGUAACAUAACAAAAAUGAGAAUUAGCUAUCAUAAUUUAGUGAUAGAAAAAGGAAGACAUUUAAAAAUACCUAUCUAGAGAAAAAAGACUAUGCACAUCCUGUAAUACAAUGGAGGAUAAAGCCCAUUUUAUUUUAUACUGUAAAAAAAAUGCUAAGCUAAGAGAUAACUUUAUAGGAAAUGUAAUUAAACAUAUGCCAGAUUUUAUGUCUUGGCAAGAAAAUGAAAAAAUUAAAUAUCUUUAAUCUGCGACACGCCCUGCCAGAAAAAAAAAACGACAUUAAACAUACACAAAGGCCUUAACAGAAAACAUACCUGCAAAUGUCCCAUAGGCCACACGACCUAAAGGAAAAAAAAGGAACCAUUUGACAUACACAAAGGCCUUAACAGAAAACAUACCUGCGAAUCUCCAAUCUGCGUCGCGCCCUGCCAGAAAAAAAGAAAAGACAACAUUAGACAUACACAAAGGUCUUAACAGAAAACAUACCUGGGAAUCCUCAAUCUGCGUCGCGCCCUGCUAGAAAAAAAGAAAAGGCGCAAUUAGACAUACACAAAGGUCUUAACAGAAAACAUACCUGGGAAUCCUCAAUCUGCGUCGCGCCCUGCUAGAAAAAAAGAAAAGGCGCAAUUAGACAUACACAAAGGUCUUAACAGAAAACAUACCUGGGAAUCCUCAAUCUGCGUCGCGCCCUGCAAAAAAAAAAAAAGGCCACACGACCUAAAGGAAAAAAAAAAGAAACCAUUAGACAUACACAAAGGUCUUAACAGAAAACAUACCUUGGAAUCCUCAAUCUGCGUCGCGCCCUGCUAGAAAAAAAGAAAAGGCGCAAUUGGACAUACACAAAGGUCUUAACAGAAAACAUACCUGGGAAUCCUCAAUCUGCGUCGCGCCCUGCAAAAAAAAAAAGGCCACACGACCUAAAGGAAAAAAAAAAAACAUUAGACAUACACAAAGGUCUUAACAGAAAACAUACCUGGGAAUCCUCAAUCUGCGUCGCGCCCUGCUAGAAAAAAAGAAAAGGCGCAAUUAGACAUACACAAAGGUCUUAACAGAAAACAUACCUGGGAAUCCUCAAUCUGCGUCGCGCCCUGCUAGAAAAAAAGAAAAGGGACAACCUUAGACAUACACAAAGGUCUUAACAGAAAACAUACCUGGGAAUCCUCAAUCUGCGUCGCACCCUACUAGAAAAAAAGAAAAGGCGAAAUUAGACAUACACAAAGGUCUUAACAGAAAACAUACCUGAAAAUCUCCAAUCUGCGAUGCGCCCUGCCAGAAAAAAAAGAAAAGGCGCAAUUAGACAUACACAAAGGUCUUAACAGAAAACAUACCUGGGAAUCCUCAAUCUGCGUCACGCCCUGCAAAAAAAAAAAGGCCACACGACCAAGCCCUGCUAGAAAAAAAAAAGGCGACAUUAGACAUACACAAAGGUCUUAACAGAAAACAUACCUGAAAAUCCUCAAUCUGCGUCGCGCCCUGCUAGAAAAAAAGAAAAGGCGACAUUAGACAUACACAAAGGCCUUAACAGAAAACAUACCUUCGAAUCUUCAAUCUGCAUCGCGCCCUGCUGGAAAAAAAAGAAAAGGCGCAAUUAGACAUACACAAAGGUCUUAACAGAAAACAUACCUGGGAAUCCUCAAUCUGCGUCGCGCCCUGCUAGAAAAAAAGAAAAGGCGCAAAUUAGACAUAC
This 3457-nucleotide long non-coding RNA is filed under the name Mytilus galloprovincialis (Mediterranean mussel). The record is from RNAcentral. Lineage: Eukaryota; Metazoa; Mollusca; Bivalvia; Mytilida; Mytilidae.